RNAcentral lists this transfer RNA (71 nucleotides) under Marmota monax (woodchuck). RNAcentral's name for it is "tRNA.Ala". The record is from RNAcentral. Lineage: Eukaryota; Metazoa; Chordata; Mammalia; Rodentia; Sciuridae.
GGGGUUGUGGCUCAGUGGUACAGCACUUGCCUAGCAUGUGUGAGGCCCUGGAUUCAAUCCUCAGCACCUCA